RNAcentral lists this ribosomal RNA (400 nucleotides) under uncultured bacterium. RNAcentral describes it as "partial 16S ribosomal RNA". It matches the Rfam family "Archaeal small subunit ribosomal RNA", at positions 473 to 873 of the family's 1478-position model. The record is from RNAcentral.
AUACCAGCACCCCGAGUGGUCGGGACGAUUAUUGGGCCUAAAGCAUCCGUAGCCGGUUCUACAAGUCUUCCGUUAAAUCCACCUGCUUAACAGAUGGGCUGCGGAGGAUACUAUAGAGCUAGGAGGCGGGAGAGGCAAGCGGUACUCGAUGGGUAGGGGUAAAAUCCGUUGAUCCAUUGAAGACCACCAGUGGCGAAGGCGGCUUGCCAGAAUGCGCUCGACGGUGAGGGAUGAAAGCUGGGGGAGCAAACCGGAUUAGAUACCCGGGUAGUCCCAGUUGUAAACGAUGCAGACUCGGUGAUGGACUAGCUUUAUGCUGGUCCAGUGCCGCAGGGAAGCCGUUAAGUCUGCCGCCUGGGUAGUACGGUCGCAAGACUGAAACUUAAAUGAAUUGGCGGGG